GACUCAGUCUGGAAGACCCUGUGCAGCAGCCCACCGGGCCUCUGCAGACUCCAGGCUGCAGAAUGACGGACACCACCGUCAAAUCUGUGCGCAGCCUCAACAACCUGCACAGCCUGGACCUUUCUCUUUGCAACAAGAUCUGAUUGAAGGUUCCUCAUCCACCAAACCGAGAGAGCUGCAGUCUCAUCACAGACACAUCUGUAAUGAGGAUUGCGCAAAGUUAUUGUGAGGGACUGACUGAUGAGAGUGUCGAGUGGUUGAGUGGCAGCUCCGUCGGCUCUCUCGACACGAGCGGUUGCAACGUCAUGGAUCA
Molecule: long non-coding RNA, 313 nt
Organism: Gasterosteus aculeatus aculeatus (three-spined stickleback)
Lineage: Eukaryota; Metazoa; Chordata; Actinopteri; Perciformes; Gasterosteidae
Source: Ensembl